Pelobates cultripes (western spadefoot toad) is the source of this 5619-nucleotide non-coding RNA. The record is from the annotation of a GenBank genome assembly. Lineage: Eukaryota; Metazoa; Chordata; Amphibia; Anura; Pelobatidae.
CCACCUUACCAUUAUUAUUUCCCUGAAAACAAGUAUAAUUACCAGGAUAUACUUGGACAACAUCAUUUAAAUUAAACUUGGGUUCACCAAUAGGGUGACCCUUUUUCCAUUCUUCACAUUCUGUAGUAUUAACAGUGAUACCUGAAAACAAACUUAGGAAACAUUCCCAGUACUCAUCAGGGACAUGUAAAGGUACAGUUCCUAGAUGAGGUCUGGCACUACCACAUACAUAACAGUUUGACCUAUUGUUGGAAUGGGCAUUAUAUCUCAUCCAUUCCAGCCAUAGGUUUGUAUCUGCAUACCCUGUUUCUAACGCUAUGGUAUCUCCAAACGUGGGAUCUGCUUUGGCCAUCAUAUUACCAAGGGUCUGAAUGUGGGGCUUUAGAGGAUUAACAAGAGUUUGUCUAGAGGUGAGGCUUUCCCAUUUUGAGGAGUUCCAUAUAUCUUUUAACUGGAUUUUUCCUCGAUUACCUCCAAUACCUCCUCUUAAAAAGGUACUGAGAAUAUAAAUACCUUGAUCUCCAGGACUGGGGUUUUCAAUAUUUAAGGUAAAUUUCAUGGAGUGCCCAGUUUGCCCUAUAGAGGUACAUGUACCUGGCUUUGUUAGGGUCAUUCUAGUCAAGAGGGACUUCCCAUUCGUAUCCUUUUUAUCUAAUGCAUUCUGUGGCUUAUAACCCCAAUCUGUCCCGGUGUUCCAUCCAACUGAGCCCCAAUAAUCACAAUUGUUACCCCUCUUUGAGCAAUAUAUAUUGCUCAUAUCAUCGGUUAACAUUCUCCCAAGACAGAGAAAUUUCCACAUUAUGGCAUUCCCAAGCAAUCAUGUGGUCUACAAGAAACAGAAACUCAGCAGAAAAAAAACAAAACAAAAACCACUUAAUACUUUUGCAGACAGAUAUAUAGAAAAUGGAUGUUUAAGACAGAAUGGAACUUGGGCUUAUAGCAACUAUAUUAUAGCACAACCAGGACCUUGCGUCCUAUAUCUUUUAACCAUUUCCCUAUUCCAAAAGUCCAGUCAAAACCAGUCAUAUCCUCACGCAGUUCCUCAAAACAUGGGAAUCCAUCCCUGGCACACUCAACAUAUAUCAAAAACACACAUAGUACAUCCAUCCCUGGGUCAGCUAACACUUCCUCUCUCUCUGGCUAACUCUACAAAAAUAAAAAUAGUUCAAUAGUUCAGCAUAGUUCAGAAAAAUAGAAUAAGUCUUUCACAGAGUAUAAAGAAAUCAGUUUAGACACCAGACAUUUUGUUCCAUAAAAAUGGCUAAGGGUAGCAAUAUGGCUGACAACAAGACAAUGUCAGCUUCCAUAUAGUUCUUAGUUCUUCUUUUGUUUGCUGGAUUUUCACCACAAAGCUCUGUGCAACACCCCAAUGGUUGAAAGGGUUAUUACAGAACCAGCGGCAUUAGACAGCACUGCACCUUCAGGACUUUCCAGGUUCUUGCGUGCAAAGUUUAUGUCCUCAUAAAUAAGUAUCUCAGUUUCUUCGGCCUGCAUGGAUUAUGACCAAACAGACGUAAUUGCAAAAUACUUAUUGCAUGGUCAGCCAGAGAGAUUGGUGUGUAGUCCCAGAAAUCAGGCGGCACAAACACUCCAGGACGGUCUCUACAAUCAUACAAACACAAGGAUCAAUACAACAUGAAUUAAUUACCUAGGCUAAAACUUAAAUUAGAGAUUAAGGUUAAACCCUUAAUUUGUGUAACAUGUACUUCUCUUAUAUUUUAUGCAAUCUGUCUUCUAUAAAGUUUUACAUAAUACCCCUUUGGAAUGCCUUUGCACGGAUGAGAGUAGCACUCACUCUAUAGAAAUCCUUGUUAGGAUGAAUAUUAAAACACUAACAUAUACAUAUGGGGAUAAUUCCCAAUAAAACUCUGUUCCUAAACUGGAACCUUGAUUUGAUAUUCAAAAUUAAUUACUUUAAUAAUCCCGAAUAAUUCAAUACUCUUGGAUUAACACCUAAACCUAUAUAAAAUAUUACAAACAUGAACCAUCUGUGUAUUAGGCUGGGGUUGUUGGGUGUGGGUAUAGGUUGGAAGCUAUGGUUGGUAUUGAGGAAUCUGUGGGGGUGGGUUUGGGCACUCAUUUUUCCAGUGACCCUGCUAUCCACAAUUAGAACAGUGUGUUCCACCAAUGCUGAAGUUGUUACCUCUACAAAAGUUAGACCCUUUGACUAAAUCCUCUACCUCUGCCUUUAUUCCAUAUGCAGGAUGGGAUUACCUAACUCACAGCCCCCUCUUUGUGUACCACACAGAUAUAAUAUUAAUAAGCUUUUAAAGGCUGUAUGGAUAGUUAAAUUUUGUAUAUAAAGCAAGGUUGUCUAGGGGUAUAUACAUCGACAAUGAAAGCAUAGCCUUCAUAUAGGGCUUGCAAUACUGACAGUCUGUGUCAUGAGCAUAAUGCAGACAUGCGGUUAGGUACUUUUCCAUUGUUAUAAUAUAUUGAAAACACUAAGACCUUGCAAAUUUUUAAAACGCAAAUUGCUUCCUGUACCUGGUGCCGUGCAAGGAUGUAAUUGGGACAUAUUUCAAAUUGAGUAUCAAAAGUCUAACCACAAAACUAAAUGUUAUACGCUUAUCAAGAAAACAAGUUUAACCCGUUAGUGCGUACUUUGGAUAGCCUCUUUGCAUAAAUUGGCACGUAGUGAGAUUAUUAUAUUAUUUAUUAAUGCUCUUCUGGAUCUGCAAAAUGCUUUCAAUUUACCCAUACAAAUAUAAUACAGUAGUUUAGGAGAUUAAAAUUACCUCACUUAUAAAUUUCAGAAAUUGUCUAAUCUCCAAUAAAAAUACCAUGUUAUUAUUACCCCAUAAUCAAUGAGGCAUACUAGAUGAAUCUUACUUUGACACAAACAAUGCAAUAUACUUUAAAAGUAGAGUUAACUCUGAGCUGGACAAUACUCCCCUAUUAGAACUCCUUUAUGAGGGAGAGACAUCUUGUCCAUUCAAUCCUUUUUAUCAGUAAAAGAAUGACUUUCAGGAUUAAUCAGUUUGCAAAUGGAAAUGUGGAGCCACGAUUUGAACAGCAGAAGUUUGCGGGGCCCCUUUCACGUGGGAUGUAACAAGCGCUUUUCGUGCUCCAGGAGCGAUAGCAUACAAUUGUUUCAUUCUAGCCGGCUGGACAGCAUUUCACCUUUUGUAAAAACACUAAAUGCUUGCGUUAAUGAUAUGCAAAUCACUCUGCUAGUUAAACUCCUACACAAUGGACAAUAAAAUACAUAAAACACAUAACACACCAAUUCAUUUCAAACCAUAUAACUCAUACUCAGCAUUCAAUGUAAUAUUACAUGUCAUCUCACAAAACAGACAUCUCACAAAACAGACGUAGUAGAUACACGUAUCGGGUACCCAGCAGAUAUGCCAAUACAGAAAACACAUUCAUGAGCACACAACUACACACUCUGUGUCCCUCCUAGGAAACACAGGUAGACACAAUAUGAAAGCAGUCUUAAACUAAUACCUCCAAAUCUCCAUUCCCAUAUAGCUAUAUCAGAACACAAUCAGAAAACAACACAGCAACAUAUAAAUUAAACCACUUUCCAGUUAAGCUGCACACUUCACACAUUAUCACAGUCACCAUUUACACAGAAUAAACAGUUAACAGCUGUACUCAGAACAUAUUAUAAGGUAUACCAUUUUUAGUUUAUAUUAGAUUUAUUUUAGGGAUUCUUAUGUAUACUUUAUUUUAUUAUUUUUUUUAUUUUUUUUAAUUUUUUUUAUUCUUAUUAACUUCAUUACUUUAAUCUACUAUAGUAUUGUAUACAGAGAAAGGAUCCAUUUAUAUAGCGCGCUCAUAACUCAAAUAUUUGUAUGAAACUUCCAUUAACUAAUCUGAGAUGAUACUGCAUCAACUGAAAUCUUAUAGAAAUUGAGCAAACAUUUGGACCAGAUUACACAGACAUGGUUUCACCAGAAUCUUACAGAACUCUCAGAGACUUAAAAAAAAUUAUUCUAUACCAUGUUUAAAAGGCAUGGCAAACCUUAGACCGGUCAGCCUCCAAGAGCCUUAGUAAAACAGGUAGAAACCUUUGUCCAUAAUCUCUGAUCCAGGCUAUAUACCACAAUUUAAAAGAACAGAACACAUAUAAUGUGAGACAUAGAAGACACAAAACAUAUGCAGUAGUUAUUACACUGGAUCAUUUAAAAGGAAUCUGUUGCAAUAAAAGGUUAGUUUACAGCGCAAAAUGAAGCAUGUGUUGGACCGCUGAAAAUGUAAAUGUUGCUCUCUUAUUAACAAACAAAAAUCAUAUUUACAGUAUGGAUCCUUUGCAACAAGCACACAGGGCAGGGAAGAUGUGCUGUUUGGUGUUCUAUACAAUUAAUCCCAUAUGGGGAAUUAACUUUCAAAUACUAAUGAUGUGACUUUUUGUCUCAGUUAUAAAAAUACUGAGCUCAUCAUGCAAACAAUGCAACACGUUUACACUAUCCCACUCUCAUAGAAAGUGUAGUGGGCUUAUGGUAUUAAAGCAACAAUCAUAUCAGGCACACAGAUCCCAUGUGAAAUAACUUACAAUACAACAGAGUAAUAAACUUAUACUUCUAUGCGACAGAAAGAAUAAAGCAAAAGAUUUAAGUAGGUCUAUCAGGUACAACCUGCGAGUCAGUUCUUUUCUAAUAUACAGUACUGCUAUUAUAUAUAUAUAUAUAUAUGUAUAUAUAUUGGUCACUCAGGACCAGAACUUACAUUUCCCAUACUGCUGACUCAGGGUGGACACACUACUAACUUACCAAAGUGUGUCCCCAAUAUAGACAAUCACCCAAUUAAUGGAGAGUCAUUGUUUGCAAUAAAGACAUGGACACUACAAAUGUGCUUUAACAAGAUUCUCAGUGAGUAUAUUUUCAGGGCUAGCAUAUAAAGCAAAAAGAGUUUAACUAUUUCAUAUCCUUACAGUCAGCACUAAUGAUUAUAAACCUUAUUUAAGCAUAAAAUACAUAUGAACAAGAAAAGUUAACUACUUCAUAUUCUUACAUGGUAAUUUCCCAUUCCUAGGACAAAUCUUUCAAACACUUAUUCACACUCAGAACCAGACUUAACUAAUGACAAUUAGAGGGUGGACAAGGUGAACCUGAAACUCUGUGCACACUAUCGUAGUAUAUUCACUUAUAUACUAAAUUCUCUGUCUAUAUCACUUUAUAGACUUUAUCUGUCCAAUUCUCUUAUUAGACCUUCUCUAGUUCACUUACUAGAAAUACAUAUAUCUCUCUGUCUAGUUCCCUUACUAGACUAAUUUAACGGGACCUUAUGUAAAACUGAGUCACAGAAAACACAUAUACUAAAUAACCUUUCCUAAAAUGAUGUAGACUUACAAAACCAUGGGGAUCAUAGAUUCAGGGCGUCAAGAUAGACACAAGGAAUUACUACUCACCCAAAAUGGUUUUGGCUACAAUCCCACUUCUGACACCAAGCUGAAAGGUAAAUCUGCUACUCUGGUGACUCGGUCCCUCUGGUCACUAUUCUCCAACCCUCGAUUGUCAGCUGAAUAUUCAGGGAAGAUUUUUAUGGAAGCGUAUUAACCAGACACACACUUUUUGCUCUCCAUAAUCUUCUGAUCGUUUAUUCAAGAUUCGCUAUAUUUAUACUAUACUUGUCACGAAUAUUGGUUACAAAAGGUUACAAAAAGGUUACAAA